RNAcentral lists this ribosomal RNA (404 nucleotides) under Actinomycetes bacterium. Its description in RNAcentral is "Actinobacteria bacterium partial 16S ribosomal RNA". It matches the Rfam family "Bacterial small subunit ribosomal RNA", at positions 355 to 776 of the family's 1533-position model. The record is from RNAcentral. Lineage: Bacteria; Bacillati; Actinomycetota; Actinomycetes.
UGGGGAAUAUUGGACAAUGGGCGCGAGCCUGAUCCAGCCAUGCCGCGUAAGUGAUGAAGGCCCUAGGGUUGUAAAGCUCUUUCACCGGUGAAGAUAAUGACGGUAACCGGAGAAGAAGCCCCGGCUAACUUCGUGCCAGCAGCCGCGGUAAUACGAAGGGGGCUAGCGUUGUUCGGAUUUACUGGGCGUAAAGCGCACGUAGGCGGACUAUUAAGUCAGGGGUGAAAUCCCGGGGCUCAACCCCGGAACUGCCUUUGAUACUGGUAGUCUUGAGUUCGAGGGAGGUGAGUGGAAUUCCGGGUGUAGAGGUGAAAUUCGUAGAUAUUCGGAGGAAAACCAGUGGCGAAGGCGGCUCACUGGCUCGAUACUGACGCUGAGGUGCGAAAGCGUGGGGAGCAAACAGG